Molecule: long non-coding RNA, 813 nt
Filed under: Cyanistes caeruleus (blue tit)
Lineage: Eukaryota; Metazoa; Chordata; Aves; Passeriformes; Paridae
Description: lncRNA (ENSCCEG00000014914.1)
Source: RNAcentral
AUUUUUUUGCCCUGUAGUUUUCAGGUUUUCUCACAGACCUUCUAACCUAUAAGCAGCCUACAGGGGCCCAGCAGUUGUGCCAUACAUCUGUGAAGUUAUUGGCAGAGAGGAUGUCACUGGAUGGAACAUGUGGCAGCUGUAAGAGAAGGAAAAAAACAAUGGUGUGGCCUUGCCUCUUCUCAUUCACUCAUGGGAAAGCUGCUGUGGAAUACUCCUGCACCCUGAAGAAAUUGUGACUGUGCUUCUCUAAUGUUCAGGAUUCACUCAGGAAUUGCAGCGAAAUGCCCUGAUCGUAGGAGGUGUGAAGUGUGUUUUGCAAACCAGCAUUUGUCUGAAAGCACUCAGCCCCACCUCAAAUCUGAAUGGAGAACAGUCUGCUUUAAGAUUUUUUCCAAAGCUUGGAUUAGGUAAAGAAAUAGUAAUUUCCUCUCUGGAUUUCCUCUCCUUUUUUCUAAGGCCAAGUUCUAUUAACACAUAUUCACUGACUUUCCUCUGCAACAAAAUGUUUAUUUGUUUGUGACCUUUGCUUCAUUUUUAGACUGGAAUAGUUCAGCUGGAAGAGUCCUAUGAGGAUUAUCUAGUCCAACUGUCCAUUUCAGAUUUUUGCUUUGACUUGGAUCUGAAGUGGCUGCAGCCACAAGGCAGAGCAGUGACCACUCUACAACCACAGCUGCCCCGGUGUCUGUGCUGUCACCACUCAUGGACCUUGAAAGCUUGCCUUAUUCUGAUGCUAUGUCUAGUGGUGCCUCAGCACUCGAUUUGGGUAGGAGAAUUAAAACAGCUAAAUAAAAUAAUGACUCAAAAUGGUACUCA